AGCAAACAGGAUUAGAUACCUGGUAGUCACGCUGUAAACGAUGUCGAUUUGGAGUUUGGGGGCAUGACCCUUGGGCUCCGGAGCUAACGCGUUAAAUCGACCGCUGGGGAGUACGGCCGCAAGGUUAAAACUCAAAUGAAUUGACGGGGGCCCGCACAAGCGGUGGAGCAUGUGGUUUAAUUCGAUGCAACGCGAAGAACCUUACCUGGUCUUGACAUCCAUAGAAUCUUUCAGAGAUGAGAGAGUGCCUUCGGGAGCUAUGAGACAGGUGCUGCAUGGCUGUCGUCAGCUCGUGUUGUGAAAUGUUGGGUUAAGUCCCGCAACGAGCGCAACCCCUAUCCUUUGUUGCCAGCACGUAAUGGUGGGAACUCAAAGGAGACUGCCGUUGAUAAAGCGGAGGAAGGUGGGGACGACGUCAAGUCAUCAUGGCCCUUACGACCAGGGCUACACACGUGCUACAAUGGCGUAUACAAAGGGAUGCGAAGGUGCGAACUGGAGCGGACCUCACAAAGUACGUCUAAGUCCGGAUUGGAGUCUGCAACUCGACUCCAUGAAGUCGGAAUCGCUAGUAAUCGUGAAUCAGAAUGUCACGGUGAAUACGUUCCCGGGCCUUGUACACACCGCCCGUCACACCAUGGGAGUGGGUUGCACCAGAAGUAGAUAGCUUAACCUUCGGGAGGGCGUUUACCACGGUGUGGUUCAUGACUGGGGUGAAGUCGUAACAAGGUAACCA
RNAcentral lists this ribosomal RNA (733 nucleotides) under uncultured Enterobacteriaceae bacterium. RNAcentral's name for it is "bacterial SSU rRNA". It matches the Rfam family "Bacterial small subunit ribosomal RNA", at positions 767 to 1502 of the family's 1533-position model. Lineage: Bacteria; Pseudomonadati; Pseudomonadota; Gammaproteobacteria; Enterobacterales; Enterobacteriaceae. The record is from RNAcentral.